Molecule: long non-coding RNA, 2640 nt
Organism: Oncorhynchus tshawytscha (Chinook salmon)
Lineage: Eukaryota; Metazoa; Chordata; Actinopteri; Salmoniformes; Salmonidae
Source: Ensembl
CAAAAUUUGAGAGAAAUAAACUUUUUGUGAAUAUGGAACAUUUCUGUUUUAUUUCAGCUCAUGAAACAUGGGACCAACACUUUACAUGGUGUAUUUAUAUUUUUGUUCAAUAUCAAACAAACAUGCCUCUCUGACAUGUAAAAUACUGAAAUCACAGCAGCUCUAUUCAUAGAAUUUUUAUCUAGAAUGUUCCAAAACCUUUUCCUACUGAACAUGGCCCUGGUUUUAAAAAUGGCAGUUAUUGGCAACACCAUGGCAACAACACAACCACAACCAACUCUGAUUGGCCAGUCAAAAGACACAACCAACUCUGAUUGGCCAGUCAAAAGACACAACCAACUCUGAUUGGCCAGUCAAAAGACACAACAAACUCUGAUUGGCCAGUCAAAAGACACAACAAACUCUGAUUGGCCAGUUAAGCCAGACAGAGGUACUGUAUGUAGUAAAAAAACAACUUUAAAAAGCAGGAAUAAUAAACAAUAAUAAAACAAUGCAAUACUGUGAGAUCAUGGCACAGAUAUAGACAGACUGACCGGCAGAUAUAUGACCAUAGAAAUAGACACAGGCAGGGUAUAGAUAAUACUGGUGUGGUACUUUAAAAAUACCGCAGCGUUGUUGGAGCAACACUACGUAGUUGUGUGUUCGUAUCCAUGGUUACCAUAGGUAGAGCCCAGCCUCGUUCCAGACACAGCGGAGAUAACGUCAGAGCAGGUCCACUGACUACAUCUCCCAGAGGGCUUUUUCCAAAAUAAAAGUCCCCGUGAUAUCUGCACCGGUUGUUCACGAGUAUUGAGUGAACCUCGUGUCAUGUAAGCUACAACAGUACUGUGUGUCUCUGCGUGAUGGUGGACAAGGUUCAGUUUCAAACUGUCACUUCUAGAGAUAUGGGUUUAACAGAUCCCAAGGUCCUGUUUCAAACUGUCACUUCUAGAGAUAUGGGUUUAACAGAUCCCAAGGUCCUGUUUCAAACUGUCACUUCUAGAGAUAUGGGUUUAACAGAUCCCAAGGUCCUGUUUCAAACUGUCACUUCUAGAGAUAUGGGUUUAACAGAUCCCAAGGUUCCGUUGUUUCCAUAUUGGUCAGUGCGUGACCUGAACUCUUAUUGUGAAACACUUUGUUCCAGAUGCAUUUCCUGGGCUCCAUGUAACAGUUCCAUGACACAGAAUAGCCCACCAGGUAACCAACCAGCCAAGUCCAUAUCUCAGAAAGGUAUAGCCACACCUUUUACUCCAUACUGUAGUUACAGCUCCAUAAUCCAUACAGGGCAGAGGACCAUAAACCAUAGCCAGUCUAUUCCCCAUGUAGGUACGAGGUGAGCCAUGUAAUCCCAUCCCAGGUAGGUCCAUCCCAGAUCAGUUUAUCCAGGUAGGUCCAUCCCAGGUAGCCAUAGACAGGUAGGUCCAUCUCGGGUAGCCAUAGACAGGUAUGUCCAUCUCGGGUAGGUCCAUCCCAGGUAGGUCCAUCCCAGGUAGGUCCAUCCCAGGUAGCCAUAGACAGGUAGGUCCAUCCCAGAUCAGUUUAUCCAGGUAGGUCCAUCCCAGGUAGCCAUAGACAGGUAGGUCCAUCCCAGAUCAGUUUAUCCAGGUAGGUCCAUCCCAGGUAGCCAUAGACAGGUAUGUCCAUCCCAGGUAGCCAUAGACAGGUAUGUCCAUCUCGGGUAGCCACAGACAGGUAGGUCCAUCCCAGGUAGCCAUAGACAGGUAUGUCCAUCUCGGGUAGGUCCAUCCCAGGUAUGUCCAUCCCAGGUAGCCAUAGACAGGUAUGUCCAUCCCAGGUAGCCAUAGACAGGUAGGUCCAUCCCAGGUAGCCAUAGACAGGUAUGUCCAUACAUGCAGCCAUAGACAGGUAGGUCCAUCCCAGGUAGCCAUAGACAGGUAUGUCCAUACAUGCAGCCAUAGUCCAAGUAAAUCUUAGCCUGCAGGUAUGUCUCCGUCCUCUGUCCCAGGUUAGAUUUGUCCCAGGGCCAGGCUAAACCAGACUUAACCCCGGUACAGUCAUGGUUCUGGCACCAGUGUGGCCCCAGUUAGGCCCUGUGGUCUCAGGACUGGUUGUCCCCAGUAGGGGUUGGUGGUUCGAGUGACAGUUCUUCGUCAGACAGCCCCGUUUCCACAGCGAUCACCAGGGAUGCCACAGACGCACUGCUGGUCAUGGGCUGGAACUCACCUAGAGAGAGAGAGACAGGGGGAGGAGGAGACAAAAGAAGGAUGAGAGAGACCGAGAGAGGGAGAGAGAAAGAGGGAUGAGAGAGAGAAAGAAGAGGGGGGAGGGAGAGAAAGAAAGAGGGAGAGGUGAGGAUGCAAUUCAUUAAAGCUGCCACCAGGUGGCACUAUGAGUGCUGUUUGUGUGUGUGCGUAUGUGUGCGUGUGUGUGCGUGGUGUGACUGUGGGCUGCGUGGUGUGACUGUGCGUGUCGCUAGCCUCGCCCGCCGCCCGGCGCUAGCCUCGCCCGCCGCCCGGCGCUAGCCUCGCCCGCCGCCCGGCGCUAGCCUCGCCCGCCGCUAGUCUCGCCCGCCGCUAGUCUCGCCCGCCGCCUGUCGCUAGUCUCGCCCGCCGCCUGUCGCUAGUCUCGCCCGCCGCCUGUCGCUAGUCUCGCCCGCCGCCUGUCGCUAGUCUCGCCCGCCGCCUGUCGCUAGUCUCGCCC